GUAAUCCAAAUUAAAAUUUUUGUCUAUAAAAAGCUAAUAAAAACUCUUAUUGCAUAAACAGAAAAAUCAUGAACUUAAUCAUUUUCUCCCUGUGUGUGCCAUCAAUGCAAGUAGAAGGUUAACAGUUGGCUUACUGAACAGAAAACAGAAAAGGAUUGUAUCUAUUGCAGUAAAUCAUAUUACUGUUGAAAACAAUUUCCUACCCCUCCCAGUGAGAAUGCAUACUUCCUAGUCCAGUGGAGAUUAAGACAGAUAUUGUAACCUGCUCUGCUUAAUGGAAUGAGAGAAUUGACGCUUGUCAUUUAUGGGUGGAAAUCUUCAGGACUAGUACAACGAGCAACAUACUCUUUUUCUCUGAUGAGGGAUAAGCGGUAUUGCAAGCACAGCCUUAGCUGCGAGUCUGGAGUCACAGGGAAGGCAGUGUGGGGGAGCAGAAUAGCUGCAGGACAUGUGAGCCUCAGGAUUUUAAGGUUAUUUCCAUUUCCUUAAACACAGGAACUGGUACCUUGAAUAGAGUUCUAUUACAAACCAUACCUAAAUUAUGUGGUGCUGAACUGAAGCCUGGCAGUAGGUGUGAAGAAAACUAUCAUCAGAGGCUGAAAGGAGAGGAAUACAUGCUUUGUGAGGAUGAAACAUUUGGAGAAACCAUUUUCUCAGUCAUUUAAAAGGAGAUAAUGUCCUUCAGGGACUUGUUGCCUUAAGCGAAAGGGCAAGGAACCAAAAUGUGUCUUGAUGGCUGCACUGGACUAGACGGGGAGAGUGCCCAGGCAGAGAGGAGCUCACCUCGGAGAAGAUGCAGUUAUCUCAGAAGAAGUAAUAGUAAUAAUAAAAGAAGACAAAGCCCAGAAAUGUGUCCACCCUCCAGGCGCCAGGGCGGAUGGUGACAGGGCUGGCCAACGUGAAUCGCCUGAGUCAUUGUGUCCCUUGGGUGGUUUUCUGCCUUUCCCGUGGUGGGCGCUCUUUGGCGGCUGCUAACCUGGUGGAACGAGGUCUUCACAUCUCCCGUUCAUUCCUACGUGUCUAUUCACACAGCUCCGUCACAGAACUCCGGGCUCUAGCCUUCCCAGGGUCCCAUGUCCAGGCGCCCCGCUGACCAGCUGGGCCCUCAUUCAUUGUCCGUGAGGCCAUCUGUGACCUAACUUCUGACCUUGUCUCCUUCCACAGGAAAUGGUGGACCAGGCAUCCCCCCGAGUGAGGCUAUGCUAUGGCUACUGUCCUUUUUCAGCUCAUAACCGAUUUAGUGAGCCGACACAUCUACAGCAAGAGCCGAGGCUUGUUCCUCCUCUGCCAGCUGGUCAUACUGAGGCCCCAUGUGUCCACCGGUAUGAACCGACGGAGAAGCCAAGGGGAAAGGCGGAGAGAGAUGUACAGUUCUGGACUUCCCGCUCAUGGGUUGCUCUUCUGCGCCCUCUUUGCUUGUGCAUGAAUCCAGAUGAAUGAGUGACUCCCGUCUAUCUACUCAUCUAACUCAGUGGCUCUGACAUAACUAAGCUUAUGACGCACAGUCCUGAACACAUGGUCACUUGGUGUAUGAAAGUCAGCUUCGCUGUCUCCACUAGGAGCAAUAGUGUGCCCAGUUUUUUUGUCAAAGUGGUAUCAUUCUCUGGUUCAGAGUGCACAGCCUCGGUCUAGAACCCCAGGGAACUUCACUGUCACUCUCCCAAAGAAGCCCAGUACAAGCCCCACAUGGCAUUUUUCCCCUCACAACCUACACCUCUAAUAUUAUUGGAUCAGUGAUGUUUUAUGAUUCAAAAUUCAGGGAUGCUCACCUGGCAGCUUGGAUGUGCUGCAGAGCCCUUUCCUGCUCUUCACGUCACUCAACGUCAGCCGCGUUUCAUGCCACCCGGUAAACGGAGCUGAGCAGUCCUCCUCCAUGGGGAGUCUGCUGCCUCUGGGACCCAAGGCCCACCAGCGUUACCCUUCUUUGUCAUAUGAGAUGCAAGGAUCCUUGCCAGGAUGUUAAAUCCCAUAUCUUGGGAGAGUGCUCCCAAAUCAACAAACUCUCUCCUAUCCACUCUUAAUGUUCCCCUGUCCAGUCUUAUGACUGAGCACGUGCAGAAUCCAGGCCCCUGUGCCCUCCCUUGAUACUGGUAGGAACGGCUGUGUAGGACCUGCACUACGUUGGGGAGUAGUUCCCGUACUCCCGGGUCUCAUAUAGCAGACUACCUUACAAGCAGACGUUUGCCUUCUAGUUUUCAGUAACAUAAAAACAAGAAGAAAUACCUGCUCCAGAUGGGAGCUGAAUAAAUGUAUAAAAGGGGAAUGAAUGAACUGCAUCAAAAGAUCAAACUCUUGACCCAUUUGGCUCAGUUUUGUGGGGACACUAGAGUAUAUAUUAGAAGAGGAAAUACAGGAAUGGUCAAGUCUGAGCUAGACAUGUUCUUAUUAGAACUCGGAAAGACGUCAAAUGUCAAGUAACUCAAUUGUGGUUAAAAGUUUUACUUAAUCUUAAAAAGGGGCGUGUCUUAGAGGCUCCUGAAAAUAUGCCUGAUCGUGGAUCUUCAAAUGAAAGUAAGCCCUGAAGGAAAACAGCAAGUGAAAAGGGGUGUCCUGGAGCCGCAGCGCCCAGAAGGGGCGGCGCCUGUGGCUCAGACGGCCAGGGCUCUGUGGCCACUGCAUGGUGGUGAAGGCACCUGAUCUGCAACGGGAUCCUAAAGACAACUUUUGAGUGGUUAGGAAGACCGUAUGGACCACAUACCACGUCCUUCGGUAUGAACUGUAUUUAUGUUACUUCUGGGGAGAUCACUGAAACUUGAUGGUAUACAUUUACUUUGCUCAAUGAGCGGAUGACUGUGAGGGCCUUUCCCUGGGUGAUUUUGAUUUAUUCAAAUUUAACUUAAUUUCUAAAAAUACAAAAUCAUAUUGGGGUAUUGUGAAUAAUUACUGCCUCAAGGCAAGCAUAUCUGUGUGAGUCUUAGUUGAAGUACUCUCAAAAGCUGUUUAAAAAGCAAAAUAUAAAAUGAAUUGUCAUCAGUGACCUAUGACUACUGUUACUCUAGCAGUUCUUCAGCGAGGAAAUAUGAUUAUACUUGAACGAAAUUCACUCUGAACCUUUCAAAUUAAAAGUAGACCAUGAACAUAAAAGGAGUCUAAGGAAAAUUUCAGAAGCUACUGACUUGCCAUUCCAAUCUCUCUGUAAAUCAUGAGCCAUCCUAUGGAUUUCUGCCUAGGUAGCUAAUGACCAGAAACCAGACCAAACCAUGAGAAAAGGAAUGUGCAAGACCAUUCUGGAAAAUCUCAAACACUCCUACAAAAACAAACCUUCUUUAAUUGAAAUUUAAUCUUUCUUGACCUUGUGCUUCAGGUUCCUCCACUUCUAGAGGUGUGAUAAGUAGUAUAUCCUCUGGAGGGUCCCAGUUUAAGGUAAAAGAAACACAUGAGCUAGAGCAGUACCUUUUCCAAAUAUCUGGGCACACUGUUUAUCAGCAGUUUGGCACCGUCCGUCAUAGCAGAACGCGGUCUCCGACCUGCACAGCUGGCCAUUGAGCGCGUAGGUGUCCGGAACGCAAGUACUGGAGGUCCCAUUGCAGUACUCUGUGAAAUCACACUCUUGAUCAACACUCUUUCUGCAUGGAGUGCCCACCACUGAUAUCUACGAGGGAAAAAGAGAAAGAAAAUCAUGUCCUGCGAAUGACCACCCUCAGUUACCUACUCAAGAGAAUUUUCAAAUAAAAUACAUCUGAUCAUGGAUACUUGAGGGAAUCCCAGAGUUCCCAUGGCUCUGAGUUUUUUGAAGGAAAAAUCAGGUACAGUGUUCAUUAUGCAGCCUGAAGAAGAGUAACUCUCUCAGAGAUAUGAAAGGAUCCUUUCCAACAGAGGAUUUGCAACUGCUUUGUGUUCUCCUCCCAGGAGGAGGCCAUCUAAUUCUACCGGCUUUUGGAGGGGGACAGAUUAGUUUAAACACACCUGUCCCUCAAAACUGGAGGAACAUUGCCUCUGUCUUUUUGUUCUUGGAGAGACCCAGGAGCCAAACAGCCUGAAAAUCCCUUGCUCGGAUUUUUACUAGCUUAUUUGUGUGGCUGAGGUACAGAAUCUGUUUUGCAGUUUCCUCAUUUGUAAACUUGAGAUAAUAAUCAUUCUGUCAGAGGAUUGUUAGUAUUAAAUGGAAUUAAUAUUUAAAAAGUGCUUAGAAUAACACAUGGAAUCAAUGUAUGAAAUAGGUUAUGACCAUCAUCAUCAUAUUUACUAUUAUCUGAGAGCAGAAGGGCCUUCUUGCAUAGCUCAGGUAAAGAGUAGAUCAGCUAUCAAAUAUUAUGGCCUGUUGAUUCAAUCAGUUAUCCAUUGCCUUCAACAAUGAAAUUCACAGGUCCAAAUGCUGACCCACUAUAUAUGCUCUCAUACACUCAGAGACAUUCUACAAUCCAGUCUGACUGAAUUAGCACUUCACAGAUUGAGACAAAGAUGGGUAAGGAAUGAAGUGGCAUCUUCAAAAUGACAAGAUAAAAAGGAACUUCCAAGCUAGAAUGCCAUACCUGUGAAAUCUAUAUUUCAAAAAUGUAUGAGAGAUAACGACUUUCCUAGGCCAAUAAUAAUUGACAGAAUUCAUUUUCAGCAGACCUAAAUUACAGGAAAGAGUAAAGGGAGGUCUUUAGGCACAAGCGAUGUGACAGUAAACAGAAAUCUACAAAAGGAAAAAGAGAG
Manis pentadactyla (Chinese pangolin) is the source of this 4641-nucleotide long non-coding RNA. RefSeq lists it as uncharacterized. The transcript has 3 exons. The record is from RefSeq and is a predicted model, not a curated record. NCBI's taxonomy places the organism in Eukaryota, Metazoa, Chordata, Mammalia, Pholidota, Manidae.